Molecule: unclassified non-coding RNA, 100 nt
Filed under: Chryseobacterium soldanellicola
Lineage: Bacteria; Pseudomonadati; Bacteroidota; Flavobacteriia; Flavobacteriales; Weeksellaceae
Description: Flavo-1 RNA
Source: RNAcentral
UGCAAACUCUGUUAGAAGUGAAAUAGCUUCUGGAAUAGGUUUCAAUACGGGAGCGGUUAUAGGCUACUCAAGAAUUAUUGAACAAACAGUUGGAAAAGGG